GUUUUGAUCAUUGCAAACUGCUCUGGAACAGCAACUGGGAGCCAUGCAGCAACUGCUCGGGAACGCUUACCAUCACCCUCUCCAUAUUUGGCACUGUGCGCCCACGUGAUGCCGGUCUGAAAGCCCAGCUCGCGGCAGACGACUUUGGCUAGUUUGAUAUCCACUUCGUCAUCACACACCGUCCCCCACGUGCUGUUGUGAAGCACUUCCACGCGACCCUCGUUCAGUCCCCGGGCGAAGUUUCCCGCCAGGCGCACCUUGGAAACCGGAGCGCGCGCGGUCCUGCUGCGUGGUGAGGAUGACGACCAUCGGCGGGGUUCCGAAAGCGCGGAGGAGGAGAGGAAGAGGAGGAGGAGCAGAGAACUCAAGCAGAUGAGGAAGAUGCGAUGCAUCAUGUCUGUGUAUGGAAUAUCGUCCAGGAGAUAGAGAGAGAGAGAAUUGGGCAGUUAACCCACUGUUCCUCGGCCGUCAUUGAAAAUAAUAGAGUGACUGAGUAAGGAGGAUGGACUCACCUGAUAGAAAGCUACAGACACAGCUGUCCUACACGUCCCAGACCGGGAGAGGAGAGAGUGACUGAGUAAGGAGGAUGGACUCACCUGAUAGAAAGCUACAGACACAGCUGUCCUACACGUCCCAGACCGGGAGAGGAGAGAGUGACUGAGUAAGGAGGAUGGACUCACCUGAUAGAAAGCUACAGACACAGCUGUCCUACACGUCCCAGACCGGGAGAGGAGAGAGUGACUGAGUAAGGAAGUGUGCCUGCUAGAUGAGGUCUCUGGUCAAUCUUUCUCUUUCUUCUCCUGCCUCCCUCAUUCCCUCCCACAUUUCUUCUCUCUCUCUUUUUAAGAAUGUUCCUGCUCACUCAAAAAUGCUGACACACACACACACACACACACACAAUUGUUUAAUUGCAUUUUGAUUUAACUAUAAACAUAGUUUGGGGUGUGUGUGCAUUUUAAAUGGUGCUGUUGGGAAAUAAUGAUCUGUUUUCAGAUACUGUCUGUGUAUAAUUUCACUGUUGUACAUAAUCCCACACAUCUCUUGUACCAAUAGAGAUAAAAUGUAGUCACAUGUAACAAAUAAAGUCUCUUCUCACAACCCACUGCAUCUCCUAUAAACUCACAGGGAGACAAAUCUCACUUGAUAGACGGUAAAGUGAUGAAACAGUUCAGUUUGUAUCCUUGAUUUUUCAUGAUCACAUGAAUAAAAGAACAAUCUGCAGUACGGGAGGAGAGUCAACAGUGGGUGGAUCUGAGUAAUCGUUCAAACAAAAACAUCCAGGUUGAAUGACUGUAAAUGAUGUCUUACGUCUUCUUAAUGGGUUCAACUAAUGCAAAAGUAUUCCAUCCUCCAUGUUCUGUAUUGACAGCAUGGUGCUGUUGUCUCUACAGGGAGGAGAGAUAGGAUUCUAUCUUAAUAAUGUCAAAAACAAUCCAAACGUUUUAUCACAGAAACAUAAUGAAAUACUGGGGUAAUACCUUUGACAUGAAAGAAGAAUCAGUGUCUGUCCUUUGAAUUUAUUCAUCAAUUUAACCAUUCAAAUAAUUCAACAUGAGAGCGUAUAUGUCCUGUACAUUCAAGACUGAUUAUGUGUCAUGAAUGAAUGAAUGAAUAAAUGAGUGAAUGAACCUAAUCAUCAAAUCAUUCACAUUUAGAGUCACAUGUUUCUGCUAGUGACACCAUCAAAUUCUCUUCUCUGAUAGGCUGAUGGUUGCCUUUACACAACCUCGGUCCAGAAUGUUUUACACAACAAGUCUUCGAGGAGGCCAACAUUAUGUAAGUCUGUAUGUGUGUGUGUUGUGUAAAUGCUACCAACAGGAAGUUGCUAUGUCAGGAAUAGUUCCAAAAUGUCAAGUUCCAAGUAUCCCAAAGAAGCUGCGUAAACCACAGGGUAUAUAUUUCCUUGUUGAGCCCAACCGCAAACCAGCGUUUUAAAAUAGGCCCAGCCUCCUUGUCUCUCUCUCUCUGCUAGUGUAAGGGUGGUAGUCAGAGAUGGGAGUAUUGAUGAGGGUAUAGCACCAGUGAGGAACGUGUGAUACGUGAGAGGUGGAUUUCUAAGGUCACUUGCCCUCACUUCACUGUUUACCUAAGUGUGGCCGCAAUUUCCUGAUAAAGCAGGAAGAGUAAAAAGCUGUUGUUUGACGCUUUGACUUCAAAUUGCAAGGUUUUGAUAGACAAUUGGAAUCACAGCUGUUGUCUUUUAUACAGUGUAGUAGGCUUAUAUCUUCUGUAUCUAAGACUAUGCAUGUCGUUUCCAAGGGAGACAUCUCCAGGGGAUUGUUCAGUCAAUCAUCAUGUGUCUUUAUACGUUAGGGAUUCUUCUGUUCUUCCCCCAUGAAUGAUACAUUUUCUAGAACUAAUUUGUAUAUUAGCUUUCACCCUUACACUGUAUGACAUACAGCAUGUCUUUAUGGCUUCUAUAUGUAAUACAGCAAGUUAGUCUGUUCUGGGAUCAGUUCAGUGUUCAGUAGAUCACGGUUGUGUUCAUUAGGCCAUUCAAUGGAAAAUGUUUUAAAACGUUUUGCAAUGGAAACAAACUUUUUUUGUGUUUCCUAUU
Long non-coding RNA from Oncorhynchus tshawytscha (Chinook salmon), 2557 nucleotides. The record is from Ensembl. Lineage: Eukaryota; Metazoa; Chordata; Actinopteri; Salmoniformes; Salmonidae.